UACGUAGGUGACGAGCGUUAUCCGGAAUUACUGGGCGUAAAGCGCACGCAAGCGGUCUGACAAGUCUGGCGUGAAAUCCUCUGGCUUAACCAGGGGCGGUCGCUGGAGACUGUUAGGCUUGAGGCGAUGAGAGGGGUGCAGAAUUCCCGGUGUAGUGGUGGAAUGCGUAGAGAUCGGGAGGAAUACCAGUGGCGAAAGCGGCACCCUGGCGUCGUACUGACGCACAUGUGCGAAAGCGUGGGGAGCGAACGGG
RNAcentral lists this ribosomal RNA (253 nucleotides) under uncultured bacterium. RNAcentral's name for it is "partial 16S ribosomal RNA". It matches the Rfam family "Bacterial small subunit ribosomal RNA", at positions 524 to 776 of the family's 1533-position model. The record is from RNAcentral.